This 301-nucleotide ribosomal RNA is filed under the name uncultured bacterium. Its description in RNAcentral is "partial 16S ribosomal RNA". It matches the Rfam family "Bacterial small subunit ribosomal RNA", at positions 509 to 809 of the family's 1533-position model. The record is from RNAcentral.
CAGCAGCCGCGGUAAUCCGUAGGGUGCGAGCGUCAAUCGGAAUUACUGGGCGUAAAGCGUGCGCAGGCGGUUAUAUAAGACAGAUGUGAAAUCCCCGGGCUCAACCUGGGACCUGCAUUUGUGACUGUAUAGCUAGAGUACGGUAGAGGGGGAUGGAAUUCCGCGUGUAGUAGUGAAAUGCGUAGAUAUGCGGAGGAACACCGAUGGCGAAGGCAAUCCCCUGGACCUGUACUGACGCUCAUGCACGAAAGCGUGGAGAGCAAACAGGAUUAGAUACCCGCGUAGUCCCUGUCUCUUAUAA